GACAGAGGGUGCAAACGUUGUUCGGAAUUACUGGGCGUAAAGCGCGUGUAGGCGGCCCCUGUAAGUCGGGUGUGAAAUCCCACGGCUCAACCGUGGAAGUGCAUUCGAAACUACAGGGCUAGAGUUCUGGAGAGGAAGGUGGAAUGCUUGGUGUAGAGGUGAAAUUCGUAGAUAUCAAGCGGAACACCGGUGGCGAAGGCGGCCUUCUGGACAGUAACUGACGCUGAGACGCGAAAGCGUGGGGAGCAAACAGG
This 254-nucleotide ribosomal RNA is filed under the name uncultured bacterium. RNAcentral describes it as "partial 16S ribosomal RNA". It matches the Rfam family "Bacterial small subunit ribosomal RNA", at positions 524 to 776 of the family's 1533-position model. The record is from RNAcentral.